UCUCCGUUGGUGAACCAGCGGAGGGAUCAUUCCAGAGUUUUUAACUCCCAAACCCAUUUGAACCUACUAUUUUGUUGCCUCGGCGGGUUCUGCCUCCCAUCUCGGGAGCAGGCUCAAGCCCGCCGGCGGCACACAACUCUUGUCUCUUGCGUUGGCAUCUCCGAGCAAACAAAAACGAGUCAAAACUUUUAACAACGGAUCGCUUGGUUCUGGCAUCGAUGAAGAACGCAGC
Molecule: unclassified non-coding RNA, 232 nt
Filed under: uncultured fungus
Lineage: Eukaryota; Fungi
Description: sequence contains ITS1, 5.8S rRNA gene
Rfam family: 5.8S ribosomal RNA (bases 184-232)
Source: RNAcentral